Molecule: ribosomal RNA, 402 nt
Filed under: uncultured Rhodopseudomonas sp.
Lineage: Bacteria; Pseudomonadati; Pseudomonadota; Alphaproteobacteria; Hyphomicrobiales; Nitrobacteraceae
Description: bacterial SSU rRNA
Rfam family: Bacterial small subunit ribosomal RNA
Source: RNAcentral
AGUGGGGAAUAUUGGACAAUGGGCGCAAGCCUGAUCCAGCCAUGCCGCGUGAGUGAUGAAGGCCCUAGGGUUGUAAAGCUCUUUUGUGCGGGAAGAUAAUGACGGUACCGCAAGAAUAAGCCCCGGCUAACUUCGUGCCAGCAGCCGCGGUAAUACGAAGGGGGCUAGCGUUGCUCGGAAUCACUGGGCGUAAAGGGUGCGUAGGCGGGAUUUUAAGUCAGAGGUGAAAGCCUGGAGCUCAACUCCAGAACUGCCUUUGAUACUGGAAUUCUUGAGUUCGGGAGAGGUGAGCGGAACUGCGAGUGUAGAGGUGAAAUUCGUAGAUAUUCGCAAGAACACCAGUGGCGAAGGCGGCUCACUGGCCCGAUACUGACGCUGAGGCACGAAAGCGUGGGUAGCAAA